Molecule: ribosomal RNA, 305 nt
Filed under: uncultured bacterium
Lineage: Bacteria
Description: bacterial SSU rRNA
Rfam family: Bacterial small subunit ribosomal RNA
Source: RNAcentral
GAUUGCCUACGGGGGGCGCAGUGGGGGAUAUUGCACAAUGGGGGGAACCCUGAUGCAGCAACGCCGCGUGAGUGAUGACGGCCUUCGGGUUGUAAAGCUCUGUCUUCAGGGACGAUAAUGACGGUACCUGAGGAGGAAGCCACGGCUAACUACGUGCCAGCAGCCGCGGUAAUACGUAGGUGGCGAGCGUUGUCCGGAUUUACUGGGCGUAAAAGGAGCGUAGGCGGAUUUUUAAGUGAGAUGUGAAAUACUCGGGCUCAACUUGAGUGCUGCAUUUCAAACUGGAAGUCUAGAGUGCAGGAGAG